Camelus dromedarius (Arabian camel) is the source of this 2935-nucleotide long non-coding RNA. RefSeq lists it as uncharacterized. Lineage: Eukaryota; Metazoa; Chordata; Mammalia; Artiodactyla; Camelidae. The record is from RefSeq and is a predicted model, not a curated record. The transcript has 3 exons.
UAACCUGGGUUGAAUGCUCAGGGCUUCUCCUUGCUGAAUUGAGUAGUCACCUCUCUGGGCCUCAGUUUCCCCAAGUGCAAACAAGGGUGUAAGCUAAAUAUCCUCAAAGCUGCCUUCUGUUUUUUUUUAUUUUCUGUUCCAGGACCUCCCCUUAAAGAGGCUGGCUUCCCACAGGACAGGCAGGGAAAUGGGAGAUGCUCCAGGCUCCUUCUCUGGCUCUAAGUUCAUUUAGACUCUCAGAUCCAUGCCUCUAGCCUCCUUGGCCAUCUCGGUCCUUGGGGGAAGUUAAUAAUAAAAGUAGUCCGUGCUUACCUGGGGCUGUACCUGCCAGUCGCUGUGACCCUCAUCUCCACUUUCUAGUGAGCAAACCAAGACACAGAGAUGUUCAGGACUCUGACCAAGGUUACAGAGGAUUGAUGUCAAGCUAACACAAGGGAAGAGGUGUGAACAUUUGGAAGAAGACCCUCUGCUUAUAUAUCGACAAAACAACAAGAACACCAAAGGUGGGCAAACUGAGGCCCAGAAAAGAGAGUGACUUUCCAGGCACUGGAGAUAGUUAAUGGCAAAGGUGGAAUCAGAACUCAAUUCUCUUUGCAUUAUUCCUCUUAAAUCAAUACGUAAUUCCUUGACUCAGAUGAGUGUUAAAUCGCAGAGUUCUCCUGGCCAGCACCAACAACUGGGGACUUGGGACUGUUCCUAUUGAGGUCCCUUAAGCAGGAGGUUGGCUAUAAAGUAGGUGACCAAUUGGUUUUACUCAAAAGUAGCUAAGGAUGGUGCACUUGCAGGGUGCACAGCCCUGUGACUAGGAGCUGGAGAUGUGGGUGAGGGUGGUUUAGGUUGUUCCUUCUUAGGGGACUAUUUCAAGCCUUAGAAUAUUUGCAGUCAGAGAAGAAUUUCUCCUGCAUUUGGUCUCUAAGACAGGACUGCAGUGGUGUUAAAGGCGUCAUUUGGCCUGCCCUCCCAGCACAGUACCCCCAAAGCACCGUCUCCUUCAGGAAACCUGAUUCAAGACGGCAGAGACCCAAGAUUUCCCUUCAUCUUGCCUCUUCUUGUCUUUAUCUCUAAGACGUACCCCUGACUCUAUAUCCUCAACCACACUCCACAGGUUGAGGUGCGCACCUGCAUUUCCCACGAGGAGUCAGCCACUCGCUCCUUCCUGGAUUCAUGCCACUUCUCCUGUGAUUGUGCCGUUUACACACCCACCCAGGUCAGGACUCUCCAGGGCAGGGACUGAGGGUGUGCAGUUGUGCUCAGUGUGGUCCUAGACUCCCUUGGUCAGCUCUUCUCAAACUAUUUAAAUUCAGGACCUCUUUACAUUAUUAACAAUUAUUGAAGACCCCAAAGAGCUUCCACUUCUGUGAAUUGUAUCUAUCAAUUUUUACCAUAUUAGAAACUAAAACUGAGAAAUUUUUAAAAAUCCAUCUAUGACAUUCUAAAGGAGUAAUAAUAAAAACCCAUUACAUAUUAACAUAAAUAACAUACCUUUUUAUAAUGAGAAAUAACUAUAUUUUCCAAAUCAGAGCACAUUUAGUGAGAAGAAGGCAUGGUUUGCCAUUUGUUCCAAAACUCUUUAAAUAUCUGGUUUAACAGAGGAACUUACAUUGUUACAUCUGCUCCUACAUCCAAUCUGUUGCAAUAGGUUGUUUGGGUCAAAGUAUGUAAAGAAAAUCCAGCCUCACAGAGAUAUGUAGUUGGAAAAGGGAGGACUUCCCAGGGUCCUUGGACCAUCCUUUGAGAACCUCUGGCUUAAGCGUUUGACAAAAAUCGCUGGAUGAGAAUGCAUGGGAGGAAGGUGAUCAAAGUUUGGCCUCAGAGGAAGGGGUGGAAUAAAUGCCCUCAGGUGCCUGGCCCACACGGAGAAGGGAGCCGCCUACUGCCUCACUGCUGUCUCCUUUAUUCAGAGUUCCACAAUAGCCAGGGUGGUCCUUCGGUGCAGCCACUCCUGUGAGCAUCACGUAUGUCAUGGAAGCUGCAGUGCCUCACACGCUGCGCUUUGUGGCUUCAAGUCAGAGCCCCUGGGAGGUCUGGGGCUGAUUUGCAGUGCCCUACCUGUUACUGUAAAUCCUGUUUUCCAAAGGGCCGGGGCCCAGGACCAGGUUGUGGGGCUGGCGUGGUCAGGGGACUCCACUGCAGGGCUUUGGGAGGCUGUGGGAGGGACUUUACUGCAAGUCUUUUUUUGGGUUCUACUUUCCACUUCCACUUUUAAUUCUCUCUCUCACUCACUUGCUCUCUCCUUCAGUUCUGAAGGGUAGCUAAAAGCCCAGCUUUCUCUUUGGCUAGCCUUGUGCUUUCUCGGUUUCCAGAACAACCUUGAAAAUAAAAUCAGAUAUUUCCCAAUCCCACAGGCCAGGUUAAUCCAAUCAAAGCAAUGCAAGUCUCUGCUGAUCGCCUGCCAAGCUGGGUGGCAUAGGCAGUCAGUGUGCUUUCAUUAGUCCGGCUAAUUCAGAAAUCACUUUGAAAGGUGGGCACCCUUUUAGGAACUGGCACAGACAUUGUGUGUUCAAAUUAAAGCUCGAUCCCUGGCUCCCCAUUCAACUGUGGAACACCCGAUAGACUGAGUCCUAUUUUAAAUCUAGAGCUGGACUAAGAUCCCCUGAGAUGCUUCAAACUUCAAAUGUAGUUCAGAGGUUUGAGACGAGAUGGUGGAGUAGAGGGACCCACUGCUCACUCUCUUCCACAAAUCCACCAAGAAUUACAUCUACAAACCCACUGAAUCGCACAGAACACCUCUGGAAAUCUGGCAGAGUGCCUCUCAUUGCGAAAUACAGGUGCCUUCUCACAAAAUCCGAUAAACAACAAAUUUAUACUGUAUAACACAGUUAUAUUCAAUAUCUUGUAGCAGCUUAUGGUUAAAAAGAAUAUGAAAAUGAAUAUAUGUAUGUUCCUGUAUGACUGAAGUAUUAUGCUGUACACCAGAAAUUGACACAUUGUAAAC